AUUGAACGCUGGCGGCAGGCCUAACACAUGCAAGUCGAGCGGAUGAAGGGAGCUUGCUCCUGGAUUCAGCGGCGGACGGGUGAGUAAUGCCUAGGAAUCUGCCUGGUAGUGGGGGAUAACGUCCGGAAACGGGCGCUAAUACCGCAUACGUCCUGAGGGAGAAGGUGGGGGAUCUUCGGACCUCACGCUAUCAGAUGAGCCUAGGUCGGAUUAGCUAGUUGGUGGGGUAAAGGCCUACCAAGGCGACGAUCCGUAACUGGUCUGAGAGUAUGAUCAGUCACACUGGAACGGAGACACGGUCCAGACUCCUACGGGAGGCAGCAGUGGGGAAUAUGGGACAAGGGGCGAAAGCCUGAUCCAGCCAUGCCGCGUGUGUGAAGAAGGUCUUCGGAUGGUAAAGCACUUUAAGUUGGGAGGAAGGGCAGUAAGUUAAUACCUGGCUGUUUGGACGUUACCAACAGAAUAAGCACCGGCUAACUUCGU
RNAcentral lists this ribosomal RNA (483 nucleotides) under uncultured bacterium. Its description in RNAcentral is "partial 16S ribosomal RNA". It matches the Rfam family "Bacterial small subunit ribosomal RNA", at positions 30 to 506 of the family's 1533-position model. The record is from RNAcentral.